Cygnus atratus (black swan) is the source of this 2925-nucleotide long non-coding RNA. RefSeq lists it as uncharacterized. The transcript is spliced from 3 exons. NCBI's taxonomy places the organism in Eukaryota, Metazoa, Chordata, Aves, Anseriformes, Anatidae. The record is from RefSeq and is a predicted model, not a curated record.
AUCUGACUAUGAGAGGGCUUAUCACAGGUUCCUUGGCACAUGAUGAGGAUUAGUCUGUCAGCACAACCAUGUCUGAGUAAUGCGACUCUUCGUUGCCUUGUGACGUGUCCUCUUGGAGCUAUUUUUUCUUUACCUUCCUCCAGCACGUUGAUCUUUUGGUUUCUCCAGCCAGUGACCAGCUAAAGCCCACUUAAUGUCACUGAAACCCAUCCACGUAAUGGGAAGAAGGGAAAAGCUCUGCUGUUGCAACAGACGUCAUGUGUUUCUUGAGGUUUUCAUUAAAUUAAGGGCAGGACCAUAUUGGCCAUAUUGGACUUAAUGGGCAUGGUUGUUGGUGUCACUGAAAGCAAAAUGAAAACAGCGGUAUGAGUGAUAAUGUUGAGCAUAGUUAGUGUUUAGCACUGCUUUUGAGCAUGAGACAAAAAAGGGGCAAUUAAUACAUCCCUCAGUUUCUAAAAGGGCUGAAAGAUGCAGUUUUGACCCCAGUCCUUGCACUGACUUUUUGAGUGGGUUUGAUGCUGAACAUUUACCAGUUUCCUCUAUUGCAAGCAGGCUCGGGACCAAAGUUCAGCAGAGUUUGGACAACGGCCCCCAAACUGCAGCACGCUGUAGCUGCAGGUUUGCUUUAAGCCUCCGGCUCUGGAGUCUCUGUAAACAAGUCAGGCGGAAACAACCGGCAUGCCGUUUAGCUAAAAUUAAACAUCUUGAGAGAAAAGUAAUGAGGGAGGAGAGCUGGGGCUUGCAGCGGAAGCGCUGGGCUGGAACGCACACCCCGUACAUCCACGUUCUGCAUAGGCGACCUCCAAGCAAAGGCUUUAAUCUCGCUGUGCCACAGCAUCCCCUCUGCAGACCUGGUGCCACAAUGCUGCUUUCAUCAUCGUAGUGUGGACUGCGACCUCGUUAGGCAGGGAAAUUAUGCAAAGGGCUUGCGUUUGGUCUUUGAGGUCCUGGCCCUGCAUGGGGACCCCUCUGCUCUGCAGUCUUUAGAUGGUGACAGAGCUGGGUCAUCUUGUCACCAGAAGGGACGAGGAGCCUGGUGCUGGAUGGGGAUCCUUCUCCCUUUGGGGAACCCGUGUGUGCCAGGCCAGGAUGUGGCUGGCAGCCCGGGGCACCUCCGGCUGUGCUGACUAACGGCUGCUGCUGACACCUCGUGGAAAGCUCACACAAGCAUUUUCUCCAGAAACCUUCCUGUUUCAUUUCCUCCGCCGCUGCGGGCCCUCCUCCGAGCAGCCUGUCUUCUGUCUAUGUCGUGGCUGUGGCAACCCGUCUGACACAGCUCAGGCACUGCUCCUGGCGCCCAGGUGGCUCACCGAAACCAUCAGCCAUCGCUCUGUCCGGGGGGGACUCGGGCCUUGAAACCCCGCUCACCCCUGCGCGAUGGCGCUCGGCACCAUCCUCUUCUUCCUCCUCGCUCCCUUCGUAUGCUGCUCGCUCUCUGCUUCCCUGACUUGGAGUGAGUCAUUGCUUUACAGAGAGCCUGAACUGUCCCUAACCCCAGCUGGAUUGCUUUCUCUUCUGUGAGAUUGGGUCAGCUCCUUCCUGAUCCACAGCAUGAAAGAAAAUCUGCUUUGGAAACAAUGCAGUGAGAAAGCCUUCUCUCGUUACUUUCAUUUCCUGGCUGUCACGCAACUAACGUGACUCCCUUCCAAAAAUCUGCAUUCCAAAUAACGCUUGGGAACCCGAAACAAGCUCAGAAACCCUCCGUGUUGGAAAGGACACCUCUCCACCAGCUCUGGGGUGAGCUCUUGGCUGCCACUAGGUCUGUUGAAAUAACAAACAGGGAUGAAGGAAGAGGGCAGCUCUUCCAUGACCUUCCCUCGGUGAAAGGAGGCUGCGUCGCCGCAGUUAACUCCAGCAGCAACUGCAGGCUUAACAGGUUUGUCUUGCUGCUUUUCUGCUGCUCAGCCCAUGCUGUCUUCAGACCCUUCCUCCUUCUCAGUGUGUGGAGGUCUCAAGUCUCUCUGAGGGUGCUUGCACUGGUAGGACAGCAGAGGCCUGAGGAGUGGUUGUGGCAGCAGACUAAAGGCAACUGAUUUUGGGGACAGAGCCUUGUAAAAGGGUAAAUCUGCUCUCCCCCAUUCCAUUCCUGUCUUUAUUUGGCACUUUUCUGAGUUUCGCUUCCGAUUACUCUACCUGGCGGUAGGCGUGGGCUCACAAAUUCCUCUCGCUAACCCAUGCAGAGUCGGACACCCUGUUUGUAGUCACACACUGACGUGCUUCCUGAACACCCGAUGUGGCACAGGGCUUCGGAGUGAAUUAUUGCCAGGGCUCCUGGAGUAUUACCAAGCAAAACUGCCCCCGAGCAACAGCACUCUUGAAAAUGAUCAGCCAGUGCUUUCCUCGAAGAGCCCCUUGGAAGAAAAUGUUUGUAGUGCUUAGAGAAGAAGAAUUGCUUCAUUAAAAAGAAAAAAAAGCCAAAAACCAAAAUGAAAUCUCACAAAGAGGGCCAAGUAUUACAAAAAUAGUGGGAAGUGUUUAAACCAAGUCUUUAACAGUUUAUUAGAUGUUCUAGUUAAUAGAUUUAUCUUUGACUCAUUAAAAAAAAUAAAUAAAUAGAGCCCAGCUUAGUUACGUACCCAAAAGUCAUACAUCGUUCCCUUCUGUCCCAACAGGAACCCCCCUAAGUCUCCAUCCCCAGCGGGUACUUGAGGGGCUUUUCCACCACGCAGUGUCCAGUGAACAGGGUCCUCACCAGGGGUGCCCGUAGGGACCGGUGCCCCAGCUGCAGCAGCUCUGGGCUCCCCCAGACACAUUUCUGGCUGGAACCCAGUGCCAGGGCUGGUCGGGAGCACCACGGCAGGAUGGAUGGGGAGAGACCUCGCCUGGAGAGGCCGCAGGUAGAGCCGUGUGAAAGCCGUUUGCAGUCUGCUCCUAUAAUCAUGCACUGGUUGAUGUCAAAUACCGGGGUCUGCACCAGUAAGCAGA